RNAcentral lists this unclassified non-coding RNA (391 nucleotides) under soil metagenome. Its description in RNAcentral is "partial contains 5.8S ribosomal RNA, internal transcribed spacer 2, and large subunit ribosomal RNA". The stretch from base 1 to 122 matches the Rfam family "5.8S ribosomal RNA", at positions 35 to 154 of the family's 154-position model. The record is from RNAcentral.
GAUGAAGAACGUAGCGAAAUGCGAUACUUGGUGUGAAUUGCAGAAUCCCGUGAACCAUCGAGUCUUUGAACGCAAGUUGCGCCCGAAGCCACUAGGCCGAGGGCACGCCUGCCUGGGCGUCACACGCCGUUGCCCCCCCAUCUACUCCUUCGGGAUUGCGGGGGGGCGGAUGAUGGCCUCCCGUGCGCCUAGCCGCGCGGUUGGCAUAAAUACCAAGUCCUCGGCGACGCACGCCACGACAAUCGGUGGUUGCGAAACCUCGGUGGCCCGUCGUGUGCGUUCGUCGCGCAUCGAGGGCUCGAAAAAAUGCUCGGCUCCGGCUGGGCUUUCAACGCGACCCCAGGUCAGGCGGGGUUACCCGCUGAAUUUAAGCAUAUCAAUAAGCGGAGGA